GCCGGGGUGCCCGAGCGGACCAAGGGGGUAGGCUCGAGAUCAUUUCCAGCGAGAAAGAGGGGCGACCUACUGCCUCUCCGAGGCACGCGGGUUCAAAUCCCGCCCCCGGCG
RNAcentral lists this transfer RNA (111 nucleotides) under Stygiolobus caldivivus. RNAcentral's name for it is "Stygiolobus sp. KN-1 tRNA-Ser". It matches the Rfam family "tRNA". From Rfam's summary of the family: Transfer RNA (tRNA) molecules are approximately 80 nucleotides in length. Lineage: Archaea; Thermoproteati; Thermoproteota; Thermoprotei; Sulfolobales; Sulfolobaceae. The record is from RNAcentral.